CCGCCGAUGGGGGGGAUUGACCUUUCGCCGCUGCUGGCGUUGAUAGUCUUGCAAUUCGCGAAAAUGGUGGUGCAACCGCCUCUUCAGCAAU
RNAcentral lists this transfer RNA (91 nucleotides) under Gammaproteobacteria bacterium. RNAcentral describes it as "tRNA-Ser". Lineage: Bacteria; Pseudomonadati; Pseudomonadota; Gammaproteobacteria. The record is from RNAcentral.